This 65-nucleotide transfer RNA is filed under the name Trigonopterus sp. 8 AH-2016. RNAcentral's name for it is "tRNA-Val". Lineage: Eukaryota; Metazoa; Arthropoda; Insecta; Coleoptera; Curculionidae. The record is from RNAcentral.
CAAACCAGAGCUUGAAAGAGCAUUUUAUUUACACUAAAAAGGUUACUAUAAGUAGUAUGGUUUGA